CGGUGUUUAACUGGCGUGAUGUGGGACGUCCUACCGGUGGGCUUAGCCUCGCGAGGGGCGGCCCAACUAAUAUCCCGUCGCGGUGCUCUUUACUGAGUGUCGAGUCGGGCCGGUACGUUUACUUUGAACAAAUUAGAGUGCUUAAAGCAGGCUAUCCUCGCCUGAAUACUGCGUGCAUGGAAUAAUGGAAUAGGACCUCGGUUCUAUUUUGUUGGUUUUCGGAACCCCGAGGUAAUGAUUAAUAGGGACAGAUGGGGGCAUUCGUAUUGCGACGUUAGAGGUGAAAUUCUUGGAUCGUCGCAAGACGGACAGAAGCGAAAGCAUUUGCCAAAAAUGUUUUCAUUAAUCAAGAACGAAAGUUAGAGGUUCGAAGGCGAUCAGAUACCGCCCUAGUUCUAACCAUAAACGAUGCCAGCUAGCGAUCCGCCGAAGUUCCUCCGAUGACUCGGCGGGCAGCUUCCGGGAAACCAAAGCUUUUGGGUUCCGGGGGAAGUAUGGUUGCAAAGCUGAAACUUAAAGGAAUUGACGGAAGGGCACCACCAGGAGUGGAGCCUGCGGCUUAAUUUGACUCAACACGGGAAACCUCACCAGGCCCAGACACCGGAAGGAUUGACAGAUUGAUAGCUCUUUCUUGAUUCGGUGGGUGGUGGUGCAUGGCCCGUUCUUAGUUGGUGGAGCGAUUUGUCUGGUUAAUUCCGAUAACGAACGAGACUCUAGCCUGCUAAAUAGGCGUACCUUAUGGUAUCGCGAAGGCCCCCGGCUUCGGCCGGUGGGUUUUUACUACCAACGUACAAACAAAUCUUCUUAGAGGGACAGGCGG
Molecule: ribosomal RNA, 820 nt
Filed under: uncultured eukaryote
Lineage: Eukaryota
Description: SSU rRNA
Rfam family: Eukaryotic small subunit ribosomal RNA
Source: RNAcentral